RNAcentral lists this ribosomal RNA (467 nucleotides) under uncultured bacterium. RNAcentral's name for it is "partial 16S ribosomal RNA". It matches the Rfam family "Bacterial small subunit ribosomal RNA", at positions 28 to 506 of the family's 1533-position model. The record is from RNAcentral.
GACGAACGCUGGCGGCGUGCUUAACACAUGCAAGUCGAACGGAAAGGCCCUGCUUUUGUGGGGUGCUCGAGUGGCGAACGGGUGAAUAACACGUGAGUAACCUGCCCUUGACUUUGGGAUAACUUCAGGAAACUGGGGCUAAUACCGGAUAGGAGCUCCUGCUGCAUGGUGGGGGUUGGAAAGUUUCGGCGGUUGGGGAUGGACUCGCGGCUUAUCAGCUUGUUGGUGGGGUAGUGGCUUACCAAGGCUUUGACGGGUAGCCGGCCUGGGAGGGUGACCGGCCACAUUGGGACUGAGAUACGGCCCGGACUCCUACGGGAGGCAGCAGUGGGGAAUAUUGCACAAUGGGCGGAAGCCUGAUGCAGCAACGCCGCGUGCGGGAUGACGGCCUUCGGGUGGGAAACCGCUUUCGCCUGUGACGAAGCGUGAGUGACGGUAAUGGGUAAAGAAGCACCGGCUAACUACGU